AAUCCUAACUAUGUCUACUCAGAAGUAAAUCCUGUUGAAAUCAGUAGUGCUUGCUGUCAGGUAUGUGAUUGAAUCCCAUCUGAAAAUAUUGACAGUCUAGAAGCACCGUGAGGAGAACUAUAAGAAGCUGGUUCACACAAUCAUAAGGAACAUUAUAUGAAGCUAAGAGUCCGGAGAUUGGGUCACCUGGAAAUCCAGAGAGGACCCAAAAAGGCUGGAGACUCCAGGCAAAAAUCAGAGACCUGGCAACUCUACUGAGGAGGAAGCAAUAGCAGCUAUAAGAGUCAGCUCCAAGAUAUCAAAGACCAGUUCCAGACUUCAGAGAUUGCGUACAACAACAUAUUUAUGGUGUAUUUUUGAUGAGUCUUCGACUUGCUUGACUAAUAAAACCCACUCGCUUUUAUUUCUAUGUCAAAG
This is a long non-coding RNA of Rhineura floridana, 417 nucleotides long. RefSeq lists it as uncharacterized. The record is from RefSeq and is a predicted model, not a curated record. NCBI's taxonomy places the organism in Eukaryota, Metazoa, Chordata, Lepidosauria, Squamata, Rhineuridae. The transcript has 4 exons.